Molecule: ribosomal RNA, 254 nt
Filed under: uncultured bacterium
Lineage: Bacteria
Description: partial 16S ribosomal RNA
Rfam family: Bacterial small subunit ribosomal RNA
Source: RNAcentral
GACAGAGGUUGCAAACGUUGUUCGGAAUUACUGGGCAUAAAGCGCACGUAGGCGGUUCGUUAAGUCAUGUGUGAAAUCCCUCGGCUCAACCGAGGAAUUGCGCCUGAUACUGGCGAGCUAGAGAUCGAUAGGGGUGAGUGGAACUCCAGGUGGAGCGGUGAAAUGCGUAGAUAUCUGGAGGAACACCGGUGGCGAAAGCGGCUCACUGGAUCGAUACUGACGCUGAGGUGCGAAAGCUAGGGUAGCAAACGGGG